AGAUGUGAGGGCAAUCUGGCUGUGAUAUCUGUCACCCCAUUGAUUGCCAGGGUUGAUUCAGCUGAUCUGGCAGCCUGGGCAGGUGUCCCCUUCCUCCCUCAUGGCCCCGUGUGCGUCCCUCCUGAAGCUGUGCGCUCCCUGGAAGAGGACGACCAUCCCCGACAGACCAGUCUACGGUCAAGGCCGAGAGUAGCUGCGCUCCCCUGCUAGAACCUCCAAACGAGCUCCCCAAAAGUGGGGUAGAGACACAGCCACAGAGGGAGCCAGUUCAGAGGCCUUCACAGGCCUGGUUGUUUUUCUCUGAUGCU
This is an unclassified non-coding RNA of Cercocebus atys (sooty mangabey), 308 nucleotides long. Its record names the gene 7SK. It matches the Rfam family "7SK RNA". From Rfam's summary of the family: 7SK was discovered as an abundant small nuclear RNA in the mid-70s but a possible function has only recently been suggested. Two independent studies have found that 7SK RNA binds the CDK9/cyclin T complex (known as elongation factor P-TEFb). NCBI's taxonomy places the organism in Eukaryota, Metazoa, Chordata, Mammalia, Primates, Cercopithecidae. The record is from Ensembl.